RNAcentral lists this long non-coding RNA (1106 nucleotides) under Triticum aestivum (bread wheat). Its description in RNAcentral is "long non-coding RNA (TAES_LNC015141)". Lineage: Eukaryota; Viridiplantae; Streptophyta; Magnoliopsida; Poales; Poaceae. The record is from RNAcentral.
AUUGAGGCUCCUGUGCUGUUUCGAGGGAUUGGGCAUGCGGCCAAUCCAUCCAACAGCUUGGUUUUAAAGGUUCUAUCUGCCUCGCCAUCAGCGUAUUCAGCAAACCCGGAGGCUAAGUUGGCAUCUGUUCCAUCUCUCACUGGGUCGGCCAUAUCGCUGGUUUCUGUUAUGCAGGCUAGGAAUAAUGCUCGUGUGUUGAUAUCUGGAUCACUGGAUUUGUUUAGCAACAGGUUCCUAAAGUCUGGUGUGCAGAAGGCUGGCAGCAAAAUGAGCCAUGACAAAGCUGGAAAUGAACAAUUUGUGACAGAGACGAGCAAAUGGGUCUUCCAUGAGAGGGGUCAUCUGAAGGCAGUGAAUGUCAAGCACCAUAAGGUUGGGGAGACAAAUGAGCCUAGCAUGUACCGCAUCAAUGAUGACUUGGAAUACUCAGUUGAGAUAUAUGAAUGGUCUGGUACAAGCUGGAAGCCAUAUGUUGCUGAUGAUGUUCAGAUUCAGUUUUUCAUGAUGAGCCCUUAUGUUCUGAAAAAUAUGUCAACUGACAAAACUGCUGUAUAUUCAGCAUCCUUCAAAGUUCCAGAUGUUUAUGGAGUUUUCCAGUUCAAGGUUGAGUACCAAAGGCUUGGAUACACUGGCCUCUCUCUUGCAAAGCAGAUUCCAGUGCGUCCAUACAGGCAUGACGAGUAUGAGAGGUUCAUAACUUCAGCGUUUCCGUACUAUGCUGCCUCAUUUUCAACAAUGGGAGCCUUCUUCAUAUUCUCGGUUGCGUACCUGUAUCACAAAUAGAUAGCUCAUCGAGUAGUGGAAGUAAAUCAAGGUGGCGAUGGAAUUGUGAUGUCACAAGCCUGGUGAUCUUAGGUGCAAUUUUAUGGAACCAUAUUUUUGUAGCGCCAAUCUGUAGUACCUUUAUUUUUAAGAAAUGGGCUUCUCCCUGCCCCCAACCUUUAUUAACAUUUUUGCUAAUUUUCAGUUGACUGAUUUUGAUUUGGCUUUAAGCCAAAUUUGUGGCCGUCUGAUUUCAGCACGGAUCUCAGCGUGCUGUGUGCCUGCCAUCCUCGUGCGUGUGUGAUGGCUUUUAUUGGGUUCCGGGUUUGGUCUUCCCACCUGUU